UACGUAGGGCGCAAGCGUUAUCCGGAAUUAUUGGGCGUAAAGAGCUCGUAGGCGGUUUGUCGCGUCUGCUGUGAAAACCCGAGGCUCAACCUCGGGCCUGCAGUGGGUACGGGCAGACUAGAGUGCGGUAGGGGAGAUUGGAAUUCCUGGUGUAGCGGUGGAAUGCGCAGAUAUCAGGAGGAACACCGAUGGCGAAGGCAGAUCUCUGGGCCGUAACUGACGCUGAGGAGCGAAAGGGUGGGGAGCAAACAGG
This 253-nucleotide ribosomal RNA is filed under the name uncultured Microbacterium sp. RNAcentral describes it as "partial 16S ribosomal RNA". It matches the Rfam family "Bacterial small subunit ribosomal RNA", at positions 524 to 776 of the family's 1533-position model. The record is from RNAcentral. Lineage: Bacteria; Bacillati; Actinomycetota; Actinomycetes; Micrococcales; Microbacteriaceae.